Non-coding RNA from Candidatus Woesebacteria bacterium, 361 nucleotides. Lineage: Bacteria; Candidatus Woeseibacteriota. The record is from Rfam.
GGGGACGACCGGUUUCGACGGGAAGUACUUUUACAAACUGCAAGCCGAGUUUGAUUUACACUCGUUAAUCAGAAAUCAAAAAAAAUAAUUGCUGAUAACCGCGAUUUAGAUUUCGACUACGCUUAUUUAAGCUAAGUUGAAUGUCUACCGUACCCGUUUCUCAACCGAUACGGAUAGGCAUAAACCUGUUGAGAUGCAGCUUAAUCUUUUGAUUUAGAGAUUUAGUCUAAGAAAUAUAAAUCUUACUUUGAUUCAUCCUGCUAAUUGGUAAGGACCAAAGGAAAUUAUAAAAUUAGCUACGCUUGUAGGCGUUUGUUACUGGGCUUUUCGGACGAGGGUUCGACUCCCUCCGUCUCCACAC